Asparagus officinalis (garden asparagus) is the source of this 351-nucleotide long non-coding RNA. RefSeq lists it as uncharacterized. The transcript is spliced from 3 exons. The record is from RefSeq and is a predicted model, not a curated record. NCBI's taxonomy places the organism in Eukaryota, Viridiplantae, Streptophyta, Magnoliopsida, Asparagales, Asparagaceae.
CUAUCAAAGAGGAGCUGCGUAAGAAAUGUUUAAAAAAUUCUUAGAAGGAAAGACGAUGAGCGUUUGAUCAUAAAAUGAGGGUUCCAAGCGACUUCAUGGAGGCGUUGAGAAUGGUAUUUCGAUAGUCCUUGGGUUUAUGGCGGUUCAGAGCGUAGGAGAGUCGCAUGAUGACGGAGUGCUUGCAUAAUCAACGUCAUAUGAGCUAGUAGAUGAGACUCCACAGUAGACAUGCCUUAUAUUCAGUUAUUAGAGUUUUCUUAAUUUUUUUAUUUUGUAAAGGCAGUGAGCCUUAAUACAUUCUUAGUUAAUCUAUUUCAUGAUACAUUCAUAUAUUUCAUGAUGAAAGAUGUA